RNAcentral lists this ribosomal RNA (491 nucleotides) under uncultured bacterium. Its description in RNAcentral is "partial 16S ribosomal RNA". It matches the Rfam family "Bacterial small subunit ribosomal RNA", at positions 29 to 507 of the family's 1533-position model. The record is from RNAcentral.
AGUGAACGCUGGCGGUAGGCCUAACACAUGCAAGUCGAACGGCAGCACAGUAAGAGCCUGCUCUUACGGGUGGCGAGUGGCGGACGGGUGAGGAAUACAUCGGAAUCUACUUUUUCGUGGGGGAUAACGUAGGGAAACUUACGCUAAUACCGCAUACGACCUACGGGUGAAAGCAGGGGAUCUUCGGACCUUGCGCGAUUGAAUGAGCCGAUGUCGGAUUAGCUAGUUGGCGGGGUAAAGGCCCACCAAGGCGACGAUCCGUAGCUGGUCUGAGAGGAUGAGCAGCCACACUGGAACUGAGACACGGUCCAGACUCCUACGGGAGGCAGCAGUGGGGAAUAUUGGACAAUGGGCGCAAGCCUGAUCCAGCAUACCGCGUGGGUGAAGAAGGCCUUCGGGUUGUAAAGCCCUUUUGUUGGGAAAGAAAAGCAGCAGGUUAAUACCCCGCUGUUCUGACGGUACCCAAAGAAUAAGCACCGGCUAACUUCGUG